RNAcentral lists this ribosomal RNA (476 nucleotides) under uncultured Limnobacter sp. Its description in RNAcentral is "bacterial SSU rRNA". It matches the Rfam family "Bacterial small subunit ribosomal RNA", at positions 903 to 1382 of the family's 1533-position model. Lineage: Bacteria; Pseudomonadati; Pseudomonadota; Betaproteobacteria; Burkholderiales; Burkholderiaceae. The record is from RNAcentral.
CUACAAAGGAAUUGACGGGACCGCACAAGCGGUGGAUGAUGUGGAUUAAUUCGAUGCAACGCGAAGAACCUUACCUACCCUUGACAUGUCCGGAACUUGCCAGAGAUGGCUUGGUGCCCGAAAGGGAAUCGGAACACAGGUGCUGCAUGGCUGUCGUCAGCUCGUGUCGUGAGAUGUUGGGUUAAGUCCCGCAACGAGCGCAACCCUUAUCAUUAGUUGCUACGCAAGGGCACUCUAAUGAGACUGCCGGUGACAAACCGGAGGAAGGUGGGGAUGACGUCAAGUCCUCAUGGCCCUUAUGGUAGGGCUUCACACGUCAUACAAUGGUCGGUACAGAGGGUUGCCAACCCGCGAGGGGGAGCUAAUCCCACAAAGCCGAUCGUAGUCCGGAUCGCAGUCUGCAACUCGACUGCGUGAAGUCGGAAUCGCUAGUAAUCGUGGAUCAGCAUGUCACGGUGAAUACGUUCCCGGGUCUU